GAUGAACGCUGGCGGCGUGCCUAAUACAUGCAAGUCGAGCGAACAGAUGAGGAGCUUGCUCCUCUGACGUUAGCGGCGUACGGGUGAGUAACACGUGGAUAACCUACCUAUAAGACUGGGAUAACUUCGGGAAACCGGAGCUAAUACCGGAUAAUAUAUUGAACCGCAUGGUUCAAUAGUGAAAGACGGUUUUGCUGUCACUUAUAGAUGGAUCCGCGCCGCAUUAGCUAGUUGGUAAGGUAACGGCUUACCAAGGCAACGAUGCGUAGCCGACCUGAGAGGGUGAUCGGCCACACUGGAACUGAGACACGGUCCAGACUCCUAAGGGAGGCAGCAGUAGGGAAUCUUCCGCAAUGGGCGAAAGCCUGACGGAGCAACGCCGCGUGAGUGAUGAAGGUCUUCGGAUCGUAAAACUCUGUUAUUAGGGAAGAACAAAUGUGUAAGUAACUAUGCACGUCUUGACGGUACCUAAUCAGAAAGCCACGGCUAACUACGUG
Molecule: ribosomal RNA, 497 nt
Filed under: uncultured bacterium
Lineage: Bacteria
Description: partial 16S ribosomal RNA
Rfam family: Bacterial small subunit ribosomal RNA
Source: RNAcentral